CGCUGCCGAGCCGCUCGGUGCAGCCCGCCCGCCGCCCGGCACCGCCGCGCAGGCGCCGCUCCCGCCCGGGUCCUAGCGCGGACCGCGCCCGCCGCCGGGACGGGGGUGCCCGCUCCGGGACCCGGGCUGCGGGCACAGCGCCCUCCCGCCCCGCGCACCCACCCGCACCGCGCGGCGCUCACACCGAGAGUCCCCUUCGGGAGCGGCGGGGGUCCCGGGGCUGCCCCUCGCUCGGCUCCGAGUGACACUCUGGGGCACCACUGACAUGAGUCACGGCUGUGCUCGUCCUGCCUGGACCCGAAUGGCUGAAGGGCACAAUUCAACAUCUCCCCAGGCGUAAAAUUCUUGCCUCACGAGCAGGGGUACCCAGGGCUGUCCCUUCCUAUCAGGUUGUGCUUUUAUUCGGUUCCACGCACCUACACCACUUCUCCAUCUUUUCCUAUUGCUCACUUGGGUUUUUUUCUGAACGCCUAUGUUGGUAGGAAGUUGCAAUUUGGGUUUGUGUUUUCUAUUCUUUUUUUGUUCUCAUUAAUACACAAAUAAUGACAAGGGAAGUUUCGAAAAACCCCAGCUCCUGUUUUGCAAGGAGCUUGAAGAACAGCAAGAAGAUGGUUGUAUGCAAAGGAAGUAAGAGAGGGAGUCAGCACAAGGGUUCAAGAAGGAGCAGAUGGAAACAGCUGCCAACAGAUGAGUACUGGAAUGAAUUCAAGCCACACUACUUGCUGGAACUUGAGAGUUUGUGAGCUGAGUUUUGGGCCUGAGCUUUCCCAACCACAGAGUAUAGACCUCCAGGUUCUGUCUGAAGACUGUGAAUAUCUUUGCCAUUUCUGCACCAACAAACCUUACAUUAUGGAAAGAUGAUAAAACAGAGCAUGGAGUUCACCAAGCAAUGAUUUCAGGAAGAAAUGUAGUUAAUAUUUUUCCCAGCAGAUGUGGCUGUUGGACCAGAAAAGGCUCAAGUUUGUUGUGGAAUAUUGAAAGUAGGAAAAAGAUCCUCUUCAUUCUCAUACUGGCAAAUGAUCUGAUGAAAUGUAAAAUUGGAGCAUUUAUUACAUUGGGAGACCUUUACAAAGUUGGACUUUGAUGAAGAUGAUGAGUGGCCAGUCCUGCCUCAGAAUCUCCUCUGAUCUGUGGAAGCCUGGGCUGCUCCACAGAAUGGUCCCAUGCCUCGACACUGGUUUAUCAUCCACCAUGACCCCAAGCUCAUGGAUGAGGAAGGAAUACCCAUGGCUGCUACCAUCCCCGCCCCUCUGGCUUCAGAAAAAUCACCAAGCUUGGAGCAUGACUGCCCCAGGAAGAAGGAGAAGUAACUGCAUUGCUCUGCUCAACACAUGGCAGCUUGCUCCUCUCCUCUCCAGAGAACAUUGACCUUCAAGGCCAUACAUGAUUAAAGGAUUGGGAGACAUUCCCUGGUAUUAGCUGUUCCCUCUUUCUUUUUCCUGCUUAAGGUAAGAGCUGCACAAACUCCCUCUAUAAUAGUCACCUAACAGAGAACACAAUGACUAAUCUGUCAUCAAAGUAUUUAGGGACGAUGACGAUACCUACAUUGAUUUUCAGUGUGCUUUUUGUUUUUAUUUCACUGUGAUGUUUCUACAAAAUCCAUAAAUCAUAGGGAUGUGAUAAGACACAGGUUGUAGUUGCUGGUUAUUCUUGUCCAGAUGCACAGAAACACCCUGAUUGUUACUUUCCAAUGACAACCAGCUCAGGGCUAAACAUUUUUCAGUUGCACAGCCAGCUUUCAAGGUUACACAUAGAUACUGAAUGAAACAGAGCCCACUGGUUAUUUUUAGAGAGGCUCUA
Molecule: long non-coding RNA, 1800 nt
Organism: Zonotrichia leucophrys gambelii
Lineage: Eukaryota; Metazoa; Chordata; Aves; Passeriformes; Passerellidae
Exons: 5
Source: RefSeq, a predicted model, not a curated record